RNAcentral lists this long non-coding RNA (634 nucleotides) under Astyanax mexicanus (Mexican tetra). RNAcentral's name for it is "lncRNA (ENSAMXG00005021662.1)". Lineage: Eukaryota; Metazoa; Chordata; Actinopteri; Characiformes; Acestrorhamphidae. The record is from RNAcentral.
CUUAUUAUCUCAAAAUGUACAAUAAUGAUAAGAUUUAAAGGUGUAUAUUAGUAAGAGCUGUAAGUAUUUGGAGUUAAUAGUUGGUUUAUUUAGUGUAACGUUAUUUGUGUGUAAACUUUCCCCGCUGUGGCGCGCGCGGCCUGCGCUGCUCGGGAAUGUGCUCCGCACUGCGCAUGCUCCCGCAGAGCCCGGUGCACAGCGAUGCUGUGGGAGCUGGGCAUUCCCCUCAGUCCGAGCCCAGCACAGGCAGCGGCGCGCGCGGACGGACGGACGGGCGGGCGGGAGGACCGGGGCUCCGGGAGGCGGAUUACAGAGAAAAUCACUGAUUCUUUUUCUCCACAGCCCAGAGUCACAUGAGAGCUCCGCCGCUCCGCUCCGGCAGUUUUCUGCCUAGGAAUACACACUUGGACCCACAUUGAUUUGAUUAAUUCUGCUUGAUCUCGAGGAGUUGCCAUCAAUGAAAGCUGUCUUCAGCUAUGAUGACCGAUCAGCACCUCCCACUUCUGGAGGCCACGCCCAUGCUGGCUGAUGUGCCUUUCCUCCCUCCAAUGAUCAAUGGAGACAGCAUGCAGCAGGUGAGUGGCUAAAAAAGGCGGUUUGAAUAUUGAAUGUUACGUUUUUUGCUGCUAUUUGC